UACGGAGGGUGCGAGCGUUGUCCGGAAUCAUUGGGCGUAAAGGGCGCGUAGGUGGCCCGGUCAGCGUGCGGUGAAAGCUCGGGGCUCAACCCCGAGUCGGCCGUGCGAACUGCUGGACUGGAGCACUGUAGAGGCAGGCGGAAUUCCGGGUGUAGCGGUGGAAUGCGUAGAGAUCCGGAAGAACACCGGUGGCGAAGGCGGCCUGCUGGGCAGUGGCUGACACUGAGGCGCGACAGCGUGGGGAGCAAACAGG
This 253-nucleotide ribosomal RNA is filed under the name uncultured bacterium. RNAcentral's name for it is "partial 16S ribosomal RNA". It matches the Rfam family "Bacterial small subunit ribosomal RNA", at positions 524 to 776 of the family's 1533-position model. The record is from RNAcentral.